Molecule: transfer RNA, 67 nt
Filed under: Marmota monax (woodchuck)
Lineage: Eukaryota; Metazoa; Chordata; Mammalia; Rodentia; Sciuridae
Description: tRNA.Ala
Source: RNAcentral
GGUUGUGGUUCGGUGGUAGAGUGCUUGCCUAGCAUGCCUGAGGACCUGGGUUCAAUCCUCAGUACCA